CCUACGGGAGGCAGCAGUGGGGAAUAUUGCACAAUGGGGGAAACCCUGAUGCAGCGACGCCGCGUGGGUGAAGAAGUACUUCGUUAUGUAAAGCUCUAUCAGCAGGGAAGAAAAUGACGGUACCUGAGUAAGAAGCCCCGGCUAACUACGUGCCAGCAGCCGCGGUAAUACGUAGGGGGCAAGCGUUUUCCGGAUUUACUGGGUGUAAAGGGAGCGUAGACGGCCGUGCAAGUCUGGAGUGAAAGGCGGGGGCGCAACCCCCGGACUGCUCUGGAAACUGUACGGCUGGAGUGCAGGAGAGGUAAGUGGAAUUCCUAGUGUAGCGGUGAAAUGCGUAGAUAUUAGGAGGAACACCAGUGGCGAAGGCGGCUUACUGGACUGUAACUGACGUUGAGGCUCGAAAGCGUGGGGAGCAAACAGGAUUAGAUACCCGUGUAGUC
RNAcentral lists this ribosomal RNA (440 nucleotides) under uncultured bacterium. Its description in RNAcentral is "partial 16S ribosomal RNA". It matches the Rfam family "Bacterial small subunit ribosomal RNA", at positions 338 to 795 of the family's 1533-position model. The record is from RNAcentral.